This 253-nucleotide ribosomal RNA is filed under the name uncultured bacterium. Its description in RNAcentral is "partial 16S ribosomal RNA". It matches the Rfam family "Bacterial small subunit ribosomal RNA", at positions 524 to 776 of the family's 1533-position model. The record is from RNAcentral.
UACGUAGGGGGCAAGCGUUGUCCGGAAUCAUUGGGCGUAAAGCGCGUGUAGGCGGCUCGGUAAGUCCGCUCUGAAAGCCCGGGGCUCAACCCCGGGAGGCGGGUGGAUACUGUCUAGCUCGAGUCCGGAAGAGGAGUGUGGAAUUCCUGGUGUAGCGGUGAAAUGCGCAGAUAUCAGGAGGAACACCAAUGGCGAAGGCAGCACUCUGGGACGUGACUGACGCUGAGACGCGAAAGCGUGGGGAGCAAACAGG